GAUGAAGAACGUAGCGAAAUGCGAUAAGUAAUGUGAAUUGCAGAAUUCAGUGAAUCAUCGAAUCUUUGAACGCACAUUGCGCCCCCUGGUAUUCCGGGGGGCAUGCCUGUUUGAGCGUCAUUUCACCACUCAAGCCUCGCUUGGUAUUGGGCAACGCGGUCCGCCGCGUGCCUCAAAUCGACCGGCUGGGUCUUCUGUCCCCUAAGCGUUGUGGAAACUAUUCGCUAAAGGGUGUUCGGGAGGCUACGCCGUAAAACAACCCCAUUUCUAAGGUUGACCUCGGAUCAGGUAGGGAUACCCGCUGAACUUAAGCAUAUCAAUAAGCGGAGGA
Molecule: unclassified non-coding RNA, 331 nt
Filed under: soil metagenome
Description: partial contains 5.8S ribosomal RNA, internal transcribed spacer 2, and large subunit ribosomal RNA
Rfam family: 5.8S ribosomal RNA (bases 1-120)
Source: RNAcentral